This is a non-coding RNA of Desulfurella acetivorans A63, 72 nucleotides long. The record is from Rfam. NCBI's taxonomy places the organism in Bacteria, Pseudomonadati, Campylobacterota, Desulfurellia, Desulfurellales, Desulfurellaceae.
GGCGGCAUAGCCAAGUGGCUAAGGCACGGGUCUGCAAAACCCAGAUCCCCGGUUCGAAUCCGGGUGCCGCCU